AUGUAAACUCACUGAGCAGGGCCCUCAAUCCCUCUGUUACUGUGUCACUAUACCCCACUCCCUCUAACAUGUAAACUCACUGAGCAGGCCCUCAAUCCCUCUGUUACAGUGUCACUAUACCCCACUCCCUCUAACAUGUAAACUCACUGAGCAGGGCCUUAAUCCCUCUGUUACUGUGUCACUAUACCCCACUCCCUCUAACAUGUAAACUCACUGAGCAGGGUUCUCAAU
Non-coding RNA from Pelobates cultripes (western spadefoot toad), 231 nucleotides. The record is from the annotation of a GenBank genome assembly. NCBI's taxonomy places the organism in Eukaryota, Metazoa, Chordata, Amphibia, Anura, Pelobatidae.